UUCUUUCAAACAGGCUCGUCCAAAAAGUCCUCCGGCCCAUGCGGCCCUCUUUAUCGCUGAGUCAUGUGGUUGACCCGGCCAACCAGUUGACAGGAAUGUUGCGGGACGUUCGUGGUGACUUACCAAGACCCCCCUGGCAGAUAUCUGUGCGGGUGGCUCCAUCCAUAAUGAACUUGGGAUUCCGGCAAACCUCCUGUGGUCAGACACACACACACAAACACACACACACACACACACAAAUUUAGCCAUGUAGACGACGCAAGGAUUCGCCCUCGCCAUUUUUUCAAAGAAGAGCUCUACGAGUAUUCUGAGUGAGAUUUCUGUUGAACUUUGACCUGACUUAACUGUUAAAUAGUGCACCAAAAGAAUCCUUUACUGGUUAAGACUAACACAUUUUGUCUUAUGUCUUGUUUUCUUUUAAAUAUUUAGGGCUACUAUGGCAAAGCCAGAGAACUACUGUAAGUGUCUGGGAUGCGUCUGCUGUGGGUGUAAGCUGUGUGUUGUGCCCUGACCCAUGGGAAGGCAGAGUCAGGGCCUGAGAAGACUUUGACUCUGCCUGAAGCUAAUGCAACACUCCCAUGCAUUGAUGCGCCUUCAUUAUGAUGACAAGGGGUCUCCAGCCAGUUAUUGAAUGAUGCCUUUGUUUUAUAGCUUGUGAAAUACAGUAUAUCUUCAAAGCGGUUUAAAACUGUAAACUGCUUUGAAACCGAUUUGAGGAUAUUCCGUCUCUUCAACUGUGCUUGCUUGUUCAUUGAACGUUCAACUCUGCUUCAUUUGUCGCUGCAUGAAUGCAUGCACAUAAGAACGUGUUCAGCAGGAUUUACAUACAAGGGCAGCCCGACUACGUGUGUGAGAUUCCCAUCAGCAACAUGGUUGGAUUCACAAACAAGUACGCACGCACGCGCGCGCACGCACACACGCACACGCGCACACACACACACACACACACACACACACACACACACACACACACACACACACACACACACACACACACACACACACACACACGCACACACACACAC
Gadus macrocephalus (Pacific cod) is the source of this 1025-nucleotide long non-coding RNA. RefSeq lists it as uncharacterized. The record is from RefSeq and is a predicted model, not a curated record. NCBI's taxonomy places the organism in Eukaryota, Metazoa, Chordata, Actinopteri, Gadiformes, Gadidae. The transcript has 2 exons.